AUCCAGCUGAAGAGUCCCAAAUAGGACGAAACACGCGUCCUGGAU
This is a non-coding RNA of Schistosoma mattheei, 45 nucleotides long. Lineage: Eukaryota; Metazoa; Platyhelminthes; Trematoda; Strigeidida; Schistosomatidae. The record is from Rfam.